AGACACAUCAUCAUCAUCACAGAUCACAGAUCACUGUACAUACAGUUGCUGUCUUACUGGUCCCCAUACCCCUCCUCAUCUUCCUCUGGAUAAGUUAGACUAUUGAUGUCGAGAGUGAGAUCUAGGUUGAGAUCUUCAGCACGAUCAAGAGGACAAACUAAGGGUCUUCUACCAGGGAGCAGAAUGACCAGACGGAGUGAUGGAGGUAAUGAUGUGUAAUCCAAGCAAAUAAAUAACUAUUUGAGAAUGAUACUCCCAGCCCGGGACAGUUUGAGGAAACCUAGAAGUGGUUAGCAAAAGGAACACAUUUGAAGAAGUGAAGCCUACACCAGCCUGCAUGCUGGGACCACCAAUCCCCACCAAAGGUCACAAAAUGAACCAGAAACACAGGAAGUUUAACGUUUUUGUAUACAUACUCUUAUGUCCUCUCUUCCCAUCGGUCACUUCCUGUUUCUGUGUUUCAAAAAACCUCAGCUCUGACCAUUCGCUCAGCUCAGACAACACAGAGGGAAGCAAAUGAAGAGCAGGAUGACCGUCACUAUCCACCCAAAUCUCUGGCUAAGAGAACCGAAAGUGCCUCAACGUCCUGUGGGAUCCCCCCGUCCGAUCAGAUCAGAUAGACCAGGUCCUUUACUCUCUGGUCGACUCUCCAAGACCCAACGCUAUCCCUGGGGACACUGACCCGACCUCAGAGGGGUACAGCAUACUUCAUUUCGAUGAUAAGUAAUGUAGUUUGUAACAUCGCAGUGCUACGAAUUGAUCCUGGUCAAAUCUUGAAAUACA
Molecule: long non-coding RNA, 783 nt
Organism: Gadus morhua (Atlantic cod)
Lineage: Eukaryota; Metazoa; Chordata; Actinopteri; Gadiformes; Gadidae
Exons: 3
Source: RefSeq, a predicted model, not a curated record